This is a long non-coding RNA of Piliocolobus tephrosceles (Ugandan red Colobus), 922 nucleotides long. Lineage: Eukaryota; Metazoa; Chordata; Mammalia; Primates; Cercopithecidae. The record is from Ensembl.
UAUACGUAUUUUUUUUUUUUUUUUUUUUAUAGAGGAGGCUUCUUUUGGGAUAUGCUAGCUGAUAAUAAUACAUUGAUCAGUGAACAAAAGCUAGCUGAAUGGAUUUACCAAAUAUUAGUUACUCUCGUUUUUUUAGAAUAUAAUCAAAUUUAUCAUGGUAAUGUAAAUGGGUAUUGUAUUUUAUUUAAAGACAUAGAAAAAAAAGAAAUAAGAUUAAGUUUAUUAAGUAAAAGCAAUAUAUAUGAUAACAUUGAUGAAAUAGGUGAUUUAUAUGGUUUAUAUUUUAUCAGAUCACCUCAAGAAAUUCAACAAUCAAAUUAUGAUAAAAACAAUGCUUGGUAUGUAGGUAUGUUAUUAUAUUUUAUUUUAUAUGGUUCUUUUCCGUUUAUGAAUAAUAAUGUUUUGAAGAGUUAUUCAAGCAUAAUAAGAAAUGAUAUUAAUUUAAAUUCUUUAAAAAUAAAAUAUAAUUAUUUAGGUGACAAUAUUUUUAAUUUUAUAAAAUGUGCACUUGAAAAAAAUUAUAACUUGAGGCUUUCCACAAAGGAGCUGAUAGAGCAUCCUUGGAUAAAGGAACGGUCAAACCAUAUAGAAUAUAACAUAAUAGACAAAAACACUAGAAAAUCGGCAUAUAAUCAUAUAAAGAUGACAGAACAAAAUAUCAUUGAAUUACUGAAAAAAGCAAGCUCUGAGUGUAAACCUAUAGCUUAAUGAACUUGCAAAGUGACAUAUAAAGUAACCAUUCAAGCAUAGUUGUCAUUAUUUAUUAGAGGAUGUGAUUUAAACAUUUUAUAUAAUUAAUUGUCAAAAUUAUUGUUUUCGUCAUGCAAUUUCAAAAAUAUAUAUAUAUAUAUAUAUAUAUAUAUAACUUUAACGUACUUUUUAAUUGAAUAAAAUUAAGGAGUUUUUUUUUUUUUUUUUUUUU